GUUGCGAACUCCGGUCAGCUGACACAUCCCUGCCAAUCUCCGGCAGACCCUCCUACUUCCUGGACAGCAUCCGUGUUGAAGGCAGCUUCAACAUGGAUGCUGUCCAGGAGGUGGGAGGGUCUGCCGGAGAUUGGCAGGGAUGUGUCAGCUGACCGG
Molecule: microRNA precursor, 156 nt
Filed under: Pelobates cultripes (western spadefoot toad)
Lineage: Eukaryota; Metazoa; Chordata; Amphibia; Anura; Pelobatidae
Source: RNAcentral